AAGACAACUUCCACCCAAACUCUCUUCCUAGACCAGCUCGCAGGCCUUGUUCUUGGGUUGCAUACUCUUUCUUUAUAUUCCUUGCGAGUUGAGGACUUGAAGAAGUUUAGCGAUGAUGUAGAUGACCUUGCAGCCGUAGGUGUUGACAUGUCUCCUUUUCGUGAUAGGUUGGAUUUUCUCAAGUCGAGUUUUAAUCUUGUUUCACUACGUUCGGCGGUUGCUGUACGUAAGUGUGAAGAUGAAUCCUUUUUAGUGCAGCUUUCUGAGCUUGAUGAAGGCACAAACAAAUUGAAGAUCCAGUCUUAAGAUUUAAAGGGCCAACUUCGGGAUCUAGAGGCAAAACAUCAGGAGGUAGAGUGUCAGCGCCGGGACUUAGAGUCGACUACCCAACAGGUUAGGGAGCUGAAAGCUGCAAAUCUUAAGAUUCGAGAUGCUGCAGUUGCUGACUUGGAAGCUUUAGUUGUGCCUCCUCUUCAUUUUGAUAUGUCUUGGCCUUUAGAUCAUAAUUUAUUGCAGUAGUUUUUUUUUUUUUUCCGAUUUUCUGUUUCAGAAACUCAUUUACACAUAUUUCAUUUAUCAGAACGUGGUUUCUUUAACCUUGUUUAUUGCCUUUAAUUUGAAU
This 622-nucleotide long non-coding RNA is filed under the name Panax ginseng (ginseng). RNAcentral's name for it is "long non-coding RNA (PGIN_LNC017139)". The record is from RNAcentral. Lineage: Eukaryota; Viridiplantae; Streptophyta; Magnoliopsida; Apiales; Araliaceae.